CCUACGGGAGGCAGCAGUAAGGAAUCUUCCACAAUGGACGAAAGUCUGAUGGAGCAACGCCGCGUGCAGGAUGAAGGCUUUCGGGUCGUAAACUGCUUUUAUAUGGGAAGAUUAUGACGGUACCAUAUGAAUAAGGACCGGCUAACUACGUGCCAGCAGCCGCGGUAAUACGUAGGGUCCAAGCGAUAUCCGGAAUUACUGGGCGUAAAGCGUGUGUAGGUGGAUUAAUAAGUGUGAUGCGAAAUCCGGCGGCUCAACCGUUUGGACUGUGUCGCAUACUGUUAGUCUAGAGGACGGCAGAGGUAAGUGGAAUUACGGGUGUAGCAGUGAAAUGCGUAGAUAUCCGUAGGAACACCAAUGGCGAAGGCAGCUUACUGGGCCACACCUGACACUGAGACACGAAAGCGUGGGGAGCGAACAGGAUUAGAUACCCUGGUAGUCCACGCCGUAAACGAUGCAUACUAUUAGUAUGGGGUAUGACCCCCGUGUGCUGAGAAGCUAACGCGAUAAGUAUGCCGCCGNGGAGUACGAGCGCGAGACUUAAACGUUAAACGUAGAGUAGACGCGUGAGAGUGCCGACGGACGACGACGAGGGAGAGG
RNAcentral lists this ribosomal RNA (600 nucleotides) under uncultured bacterium. RNAcentral's name for it is "bacterial SSU rRNA". It matches the Rfam family "Bacterial small subunit ribosomal RNA", at positions 338 to 956 of the family's 1533-position model. The record is from RNAcentral.